RNAcentral lists this ribosomal RNA (700 nucleotides) under Virgibacillus marismortui. Its description in RNAcentral is "bacterial SSU rRNA". It matches the Rfam family "Bacterial small subunit ribosomal RNA", at positions 115 to 797 of the family's 1533-position model. The record is from RNAcentral. Lineage: Bacteria; Bacillati; Bacillota; Bacilli; Caryophanales; Bacillaceae.
ACGUGGGCAACCUGCCUGUAAGAUUGGGAUAACCCCGGGAAACCGGGGCUAAUACCGGAUAAUACUUUUCGUUGCAUAACGAGAAGUUGAAAGGCGGCUUUUAGCUGUCACUUACAGAUGGGCCCGCGGCGCAUUAGCUAGUUGGUAAGGUAACGGCUUACCAAGGCGACGAUGCGUAGCCGACCUGAGAGGGUGAUCGGCCACACUGGGACUGAGACACGGCCCAGACUCCUACGGGAGGCAGCAGUAGGGAAUCUUCCGCAAUGGACGAAAGUCUGACGGAGCAACGCCGCGUGAGUGAUGAAGGUUUUCGGAUCGUAAAACUCUGUUGUCAGGGAAGAACAAGUGCCGUUCAAAUAGGGCGGCACCUUGACGGUACCUGACCAGAAAGCCCCGGCUAACUACGUGCCAGCAGCCGCGGUAAUACGUAGGGGGCAAGCGUUGUCCGGAAUUAUUGGGCGUAAAGCGCGCGCAGGCGGUCCUUUAAGUCUGAUGUGAAAGCCCACGGCUUAACCGUGGAGGGCCAUUGGAAACUGGAGGACUUGAGUACAGAAGAGGAGAGUGGAAUUCCACGUGUAGCGGUGAAAUGCGUAGAGAUGUGGAGGAACACCAGUGGCGAAGGCGACUCUCUGGUCUGUAACUGACGCUGAGGUGCGAAAGCGUGGGGAGCGAACCAGGAUUAGAUACCCCUGGUAGUCCA